GAUGAACGCUAGCUACAGGCUUAACACAUGCAAGUCGAGGGGUAACGAGAGGGAAGCUUGCUUUCCUUGUCGACGACCGGCGCACGGGUGAGUAACGCGUAUCCAACCUGCCCCCAACUAGGGAAUAACCUUGCGAAAGUAAGACUAAUACCCUAUAAUUUCCUCAGAUGUCAUCUGACGAGGAAUAAAGAUUUAUCGGUUGUGGAUGGGGAUGCGUCUGAUUAGCUUGUUGGCGGGGUAACGGCCCACCAAGGCAACGAUCAGUAGGGGUUCUUGGAGGAAGGUCCCCCACAUUGGAACUGAGACACGGUCCAAACGACUACGGGAGGCAGCAGUGAGGAAUAUUGGUCAAUGGGCGGAAGCCUGAACCAGCCAAGUAGCGUGCAGGAUGACGGCCCUAUGGGUUGUAAACUGCUUUUAUACAGGAAUAAAGUUAGCCACGUGUGGUUAUUUGUAGGUACUGUAUGAAUAAGGACCGGCUAAUUCCGUGCCAGCCGCCGCUGUAA
Molecule: ribosomal RNA, 506 nt
Filed under: uncultured bacterium
Lineage: Bacteria
Description: partial 16S ribosomal RNA
Rfam family: Bacterial small subunit ribosomal RNA
Source: RNAcentral